Molecule: non-coding RNA, 99 nt
Organism: Streptococcus sobrinus W1703
Lineage: Bacteria; Bacillati; Bacillota; Bacilli; Lactobacillales; Streptococcaceae
Source: Rfam
GAUUCGUUGAUUUAAAUCAAACCUGUUAUGAUUUAAGUUAAUGAGCCACCACCAACCAUGCUGUUUGCUGAGCUUGACUCCGAGCAGUGUGGUUAUUUU